Molecule: ribosomal RNA, 194 nt
Filed under: Extubocellulus spinifer
Lineage: Eukaryota; Bacillariophyta; Thalassiosirophyceae; Cymatosirales; Cymatosiraceae
Description: partial Bacterial large subunit ribosomal RNA
Rfam family: Bacterial large subunit ribosomal RNA
Source: RNAcentral
AGACCCUAUGAAGCUUUACUGUAACUUGAAAUUGAAACUGGACUUUGUUUGCGCAGUAUAGGUGGGAGGCUUUGAUGAUUUUCUUGCGGGAAAGUCGGAGCCAUCAGUGAGAUACCACUCCUAUAAUGUUAGGUUUCUAACUUUGAAUCAUUAUCUGGUCAGAGGACAGUUUCAGGCGGGCAGUUUGACCAGAU